GAUUCUGGCUCAGGAUGAACGCUAGCGACAGGCUUAACACAUGCAAGUCGAGGGGCAGCAUAAAAGUAGCAAUACUUUGGUGGCGACCGGCGCACGGGUGAGUAACGCGUAUGCAACCUACCUAUCAGAGGGGAAUAACCCGGCGAAAGUCGGACUAAUACCGCAUAAAACAGGGGCACCGCAUGGUGAUAUUUGUUAAAGAAAUUCGCUGAUAGAUGGGCAUGCGUUCCAUUAGGUAGUUGGUGAGGUAACGGCUCACCAAGCCGACGAUGGAUAGGGGAACUGAGAGGUUGGUCCCCCACACUGGUACUGAGACACGGACCAGACUCCUACGGGAGGCAGCAGUGAGGAAUAUUGGUCAAUGGGCGGGAGCCUGAACCAGCCAAGUCGCCGUGAAGGAAGAAGGAUCUAUGGUUCGUAAACUUCUUUUGCAGGGGAAUAAAGUGCAGGACGUGUCCUGUUUUGUAUGUACCCUGAGAAUAAGGAUCGGCUAACUCCGUGCCAGCCGCCGC
Molecule: ribosomal RNA, 512 nt
Filed under: uncultured bacterium
Lineage: Bacteria
Description: bacterial SSU rRNA
Rfam family: Bacterial small subunit ribosomal RNA
Source: RNAcentral